RNAcentral lists this ribosomal RNA (481 nucleotides) under uncultured bacterium. RNAcentral describes it as "bacterial SSU rRNA". It matches the Rfam family "Bacterial small subunit ribosomal RNA", at positions 28 to 487 of the family's 1533-position model. The record is from RNAcentral.
GACGAACGCUGGCGGCGUGCUUAACACAUGCAAGUCGAACGGAGCACCCUUGAUUGAGGUUUCGGCCAAAUGAUAGGAAUGCUUAGUGGCGGACUGGCGAGUAACGCGUGAGGAACCUGCCUUUCAGAGGGGGACAACAGUUGGAAACGACUGCUAAUACCGCAUGACGCAUUUUGAUCGCAUGGUCGAAAUGCCAAAGAUUUAUCGCUGAAAGAUGGCCUCGCGUCUGAUUAGCUAGUUGGUGAGGUAACGGCCCACCAAACCUACGAUCAGUAGCCGGUCUGAGAGGAUGAACGGCCACACUGGAACUGAGACACGGGUCCAAAACUCCUACGGGAGGCAGCAGUGAGGAAUAUUGGUCAAUGGACGAGAGUCUGAACCAGCCAAGUAGCGUGCAGGAUGACGGCCCUAUGGGUUGUAAACUGCUUUUAUAAGGGAAUAAAGUGAGUCUCGUGAGACUUUUUGCAUGUACCUUAUGAAU